RNAcentral lists this ribosomal RNA (2749 nucleotides) under Alphaproteobacteria bacterium. RNAcentral describes it as "23S ribosomal RNA". It matches the Rfam family "Bacterial large subunit ribosomal RNA". Lineage: Bacteria; Pseudomonadati; Pseudomonadota; Alphaproteobacteria. The record is from RNAcentral.
AUUCAAGCGUUUUGAAGGGCAUCUGGUGGAUGCCUAGGCGAUCAGAGGCGAAGAAGGACGUGGCAGGCUGCGAUAAGCCGCGGUUAGGGGUCAACACCCGUUAACCCGCGGAUCUCCGAAUGAGGAAACUCCACUCUUAUGAGUGAUCCCGUGAUGAAUACAUAGUCACGGCGAGGCGAACCAGGGGAAUUGAAACAUCUCAGUACCCUGAGGAAAGGACAUCAACCGAGACUCCGUUAGUAGUGGCGAGCGAACGCGGAUCAGCCCAGUGGUCUUUAUGUAAGAAUUAGAAGCUGUUGGAAACCAGCGCCAAAGUGGGUGAUAGCCCCGUAUAAGUAGAAAGCAUAAAGAUCCUUGAGUAGGACGGAACACGUGAAAUUCUGUCUGAACAUGGGGGGACCAUCCUCCAAGGCUAAGUACUCUCGAUCGACCGAUAGUGAACUAGUACCGUGAGGGAAAGGUGAAAAGCACCCCAAGUAGGGGAGUGAAACAGUCCUGAAACCAGAUGCCUACAAACAGUAGGAGGGGCGUAAGCCCUGACUGCGUACCUUUUGUAUAAUGGGUCCGCGAGUUAGUCUUACAUGCAAGCUUAAGCCGUUAGGUGGAGGCGCAGCGAAAGCGAGUCUGAAUAGGGCGACAUAGUAUGUAGGAUUAGACCCGAAACCCGGUGAUCUAGCCACGACCAGAUUGAAAGUAGGGUAACACCUACUGGAGGAUCGAACCCAUGCCUGUUGAAAAAGUCUGGGAUGAGUUGUGGUUAGGGGUGAAAGGCCAAUCAAACCGGGUAAUAGCUGGUUCUCCGCGAAAUCUAUUUAGGUAGAGCGUCAGUCGAAUACCAUCGGGGGUAGAGCACUGGAUGGACUAGGGGUGAGCGAUCACUACCAAAUCUAACCAAACUCCGAAUACCGAUGAGUAAUGACUGGCAGACACACCAUGGGUGAUAAGGUCCGUGGUGAAAAGGGAAACAGCCCAGAUCUACAGCUAAGGUCCCCAAGUAAUGACUAAGUGGAAAAGGAAGUUGAAUGUCCAUAACAACCAGGAAGUUGGCUUAGAAGCAGCCAUCUUUUAAAGAAAGCGUAACAGCUCACUGGUCUAAUUAAGACGUUUGGCGCCGAAGAUAUAACGGGGCUUAAGUCAUUCACCGAAGCUUAGAAUGCAUACUUAACUGUAUGCGUGGUAGCGGAGCAUUCUGUAAGCCUGCGAAGGCGACUCGCGAGAGUUGCUGGAGGUAUCAGAAGAGAGAAUGCGGACAUGAGUAACGAGAAGAGUGUGAGAAACACUCUCGUCGAAAUCCCAAGGGUUCCUGCGCAAUGUUAAUCAGCGCAGGGUGAGCCGGCUCCUAAGGCGAGGCCGAAAGGCGUAGUCGAUGGGAACCACGUUAAUAUUCGUGGGCCAGUGGAAUGUGACGGUAGCCGUAAGCGGUCAAUCCUUAUUGGAUUGGUAUUGGCCGUGAAGGAUAUCCAGGAAAUAGCAUCCACGUGAGACCGUACCCGAAACCGACACAGGUGGGAUGGUAGAGUAUACCAAGACGCUUGAGAGAACUGUUCUGAAGGAACUCGGCAAAUUGCAUCCGUAACUUCGGAAGAAGGAUGACCCAUCUGUACGCAAGUAUGGUUGGGUGGCACAAACUAGGUGGUGGCGACUGUUUAUCAAAAACACAGGGCUCUGCGAAGUCGCAAGACGACGUAUAGGGUCUGACGCCUGCCCGGUGCUGGAAGGUUAAAGGGAGGAGUGCAAGCUCCGAACUGAAGCCCCAGUAAACGGCGGCCGUAACUAUAACGGUCCUAAGGUAGCGAAAUUCCUUGUCGGGUAAGUUCCGACCUGCACGAAUGGCGUAACGACUUCCACACUGUCUCCAGAGCAGACUCAGUGAAAUUGAAUUCCCCGUGAAGAUGCGGGGUACUCGCGGUUAGACGGAAAGACCCUAUGAACCUUUACUAUAACUUCGCAGUGGCAAUACGAUUUUCUUGUGUAGCUUAGGUGGGAGACUUUGAAGUAGGGGCGCAAGCCUUUAUGGAGUCAUCAGUGAAAUACCACCCUAGGACUUUGUGUUGUCUAACCUCUCUCCAUUAUCUGGAGAAGGGACCCUGCGUGGUGGGUAGUUUGACUGGGGCGGUCGCCUCCCAAAUUGUAACGGAGGCGCGCGAUGGUGAGCUCAGGACGGUCGGAAAUCGUCCUUCGAGUGCAUUGGCAUAAGCUCGCCUGACUGUGACGCUGACAAGCGGAGCAGAGACGAAAGUCGGUCAAAGUGAUCCGGUGGUUUCCGUAUGGAAGGGCCAUCGCUCAACGGAUAAAAGGUACUCUAGGGAUAACAGGCUGAUAGCGCCCAAGCGCCCACAGCGACGGCGCUGUUUGGCACCUCGAUGUCGGCUCAUCUCAUCCUGGGGCUGGAGAAGGUCCCAAGGGUAUGGCUGUUCGCCAUUUAAAGAGGUACGUGAGCUGGGUUCAGAACGUCGUGAGACAGUUCGGUCCCUAUCUUCCGUGAGAGUUGGAGUUUUGAGAGGGUCUGUCCUUAGUACGAGAGGACCGGGAUGGACGCACCUCUGGUGUACCUGUUGUCGCGCCAGCGGCAUAGCAGGGUAGCUAUGUGCGGAAUGGAUAAACGCUGAAAGCAUCUAAGCGUGAAGCCAGCCUCAAUACCAGAACUCCCUAUUAGAGCCGUGGAAGACCACCACGUUGAUAGGCUGGAUGUGGAAGCGCUGUAAGGCGUGAAGCUAACCAGUACUAAUUGCUCGAUUGGCUUGAAUUC